Molecule: ribosomal RNA, 450 nt
Filed under: uncultured bacterium
Lineage: Bacteria
Description: partial 16S ribosomal RNA
Rfam family: Bacterial small subunit ribosomal RNA
Source: RNAcentral
GUGGGGAAUUUUGGACAAUGGGCGCAAGCCUGAUCCAGCAAUGCCGCGUGCAGGAAGAAGGCCUUCGGGUUGUAAACUGCUUUUGUACGGAACGAAACGGUCCUGGUUAAUACCUGGGGCUAAUGACGGUACCGUAAGAAUAAGCACCGGCUAACUACGUGCCAGCAGCCGCGGUAAUACGUAGGGUGCGAGCGUUAAUCGGAAUUACUGGGCGUAAAGCGUGCGCAGGCGGUGCUGUAAGACAGGCGUGAAAUCCCCGGGCUCAACCUGGGAAUUGCGCUUGUGACUGCAGUGCUGGAGUACGGCAGAGGGGGAUGGAAUUCCGCGUGUAGCAGUGAAAUGCGUAGAUAUGCGGAGGAACACCGAUGGCGAAGGCAAUCCCCUGGACCUGUACUGACGCUCAUGCACGAAAGCGUGGGGAGCAAACAGGAUUAGAAACCCCGGUAGUCC